UGGGGAAUAUUGGACAAUGGGCGAAAGCCUGAUCCAGCCAUGCCGCGUGUGGGAAGAAGGUCUUGGGAUUGUAAAGCACUUUAAGUUGGGAGGAAGGGCAGUAAGCGAAUACCUUGCUGCUUUGACGUUACCGACAGAAUAAGCACCGGCUAACUCUGUGCCAGCAGCCGCGGUAAUACAGAGGGUGCAAGCGUUAAUCGGAAUUACUGGGCGUAAAGCGCGCGUAGGUGGUUCGUUAAGUUGAAUGUGAAAGCCCCGGGCUCAACCUGGGAACUGCAUCCAAAACUGGCGAGCUAGAGUAUGGCAGAGGGUGGUGGAAUUUCCUGUGUAGCGGUGAAAUGCGUAGAUAUAGGAAGGAACACCAGUGGCGAAGGCGACCACCUGGGCUCAUACUGACACUGAGGUGCGAAAGCGUGGGGAGCAAACAGG
Molecule: ribosomal RNA, 429 nt
Filed under: Pseudomonadota bacterium
Lineage: Bacteria; Pseudomonadati; Pseudomonadota
Description: Proteobacteria bacterium partial 16S ribosomal RNA
Rfam family: Bacterial small subunit ribosomal RNA
Source: RNAcentral